This 460-nucleotide ribosomal RNA is filed under the name uncultured bacterium. RNAcentral describes it as "partial 16S ribosomal RNA". It matches the Rfam family "Bacterial small subunit ribosomal RNA", at positions 338 to 795 of the family's 1533-position model. The record is from RNAcentral.
CCUACGGGGGGCAGCAGUGAGGAAUAUUGGUCAAUGGCCGUAAGGCUGAACCAGCCACGUCGCGUGAGGGAAGACUGCCCUAUGGUUUGUAAACCUCUUUUAUACGGGGAUAAAGGUGUCCACGUGUGUAUGUUUGCAGGUCCCACAUGAAUCCGGACCGGCUAAUUCCGUGCCAGCAGCCGCGGUAAUACGGAAGGUGCGGGCGUUAUCCGGAUUUAUUGGGUUUAACGGGAGCGUAGGCCGGUCUUUAAGCGUGCCGUGAAAUUUUGUGGCUCAACCACGAGAGUGCGGCGCGAACGGGAGGUCUUGAGUGCGGGGAAGGCAGGCGGAAUUCGUAGUGUAGCGGUGAAAUGCGUAGAUAUUAGGAAGAACACCAGUGGCGAAGGCAGCCUGCCGCAGUGUUACUGACGCUGAAGCUCGAAAGCGUGGGUAGCGAACAGGAUUAGAUACCCCUGUAGUC